CCUACGGGUGGCAGCAGUGAGGAAUAUUGGUCAAUGGACGAGAGUCUGAACCAGCCAAGUAGCGUGAAGGAUGACUGCCCUAUGGGUUGUAAACUUCUUUUAUAUGGGAAUAAAAUGUUCCACGUGUGGGAUUUUGUAUGUACCAUAUGAAUAAGGAUCGGCUAACUCCGUGCCAGCAGCCGCGGUAAUACGGAGGAUCCGAGCGUUAUCCGGAUUUAUUGGGUUUCAAGGGAGCGUAGGUGGGUUGUUAAGUCAGUUGUGAAAGUUUGCGGCUCAACCGUAAAAUUGCAGUUGAAACUGGCAGUCUUGAGUACAGUAGAGGUGGGCGGAAUGCGUGGGGGAGCGGUGAAAUGCUUAGAGAUCACGAAGAACUCCGAUUGCGAAGGCAGUUCACUGGACUGCAACUGACACUGAGGCGCGAAAGUGUGGGUAUCAAACAGGAUUAGAUACCCGGGUAGGC
This 460-nucleotide ribosomal RNA is filed under the name uncultured bacterium. RNAcentral's name for it is "partial 16S ribosomal RNA". It matches the Rfam family "Bacterial small subunit ribosomal RNA", at positions 338 to 795 of the family's 1533-position model. The record is from RNAcentral.